Non-coding RNA from Pseudomonas syringae pv. spinaceae, 153 nucleotides. The record is from Rfam. NCBI's taxonomy places the organism in Bacteria, Pseudomonadati, Pseudomonadota, Gammaproteobacteria, Pseudomonadales, Pseudomonadaceae.
AUUCUCAAGACAUGUACCGCUGACGUUGUCAGCAACAUGCCCGAGGUAGUCUGGAUUUCAUGACUACGAUGCGUUCCACGCAUUAAUCCACCCCCUAGUUCGCAAAGCAUUCGGAAGCGCGAACGGUUGAUCAGAUUUUUGAUUGAUGGAUGC